GACAUUUCGUUCUCAGCUCGGGGAUUCCAAGACUGUGUGGAUGAAAACAUCCUGCCUCUGCUGUCCACAGUUGGCUGUGUCAUGGCAGCACUGGCAAACCACAUACCGAAGACCACACCGCCCUCUGCGACCUUGGCCUUGAGCAGCUGGUGACCUGGUUCACCACACUUGGGGCCUGGAUGUCCCAGCGCCAGCUCAUUGGCCAGGUUCACCCGAGCUGGGGCAAGCAUGUGGGGGACACUGUGCUCUGGUUUGGACCCAGAAGGUGAUGGAUCACGGGGCGCUGUGCUCAUGGACGAGUUCCUGGCCGAAUGUGCUGUAGGAGUGCCUCACUAGGUAGAUCUGGCUGACCUCCAACUCUCAGGGAUCCUCCUGCAUCAGCUUCCUGAGUGCUAGAUCACAGGCAUGCACCGUCACGCUGGCUUCCUCUAACCCUCAUCGUACGCUCUCCCCGCAUGCUUUCUUCUCCAAGGAGAAUUUAAGCCCUGACUCACUGCAUGGGAG
Molecule: long non-coding RNA, 504 nt
Filed under: Heterocephalus glaber (naked mole-rat)
Lineage: Eukaryota; Metazoa; Chordata; Mammalia; Rodentia; Bathyergidae
Description: lncRNA (ENSHGLG00100050051.1)
Source: RNAcentral